Molecule: non-coding RNA, 812 nt
Filed under: Perkinsela sp. CCAP 1560/4
Lineage: Eukaryota; Euglenozoa; Kinetoplastea; Prokinetoplastida; Perkinselidae
Description: Eukaryotic large subunit ribosomal RNA
Rfam family: Eukaryotic large subunit ribosomal RNA
Source: Rfam by way of RNAcentral
GGGGGGCGCGCCAGCUUCAGUUUGGAAACCAGACUGAGAUGGGGAGUUUGGCUGGGGCGGCAUAUCUGCUAAACAACAACGCAGGUGUCCUAAGGCGAGCUCAGUGAGGACAGAAACCUCACGUAGAGCACAAGGGCAAAAGCUCGCUUGAUCUUCGACUUUCAGUACUAGUCGAGAAAGUGAAAGCUUGGCCAGCGAUCCUUUGAGCACGUACAUUCAGGUAUAAUGCCAGAGGUGUCAUAAAAAUUACCACAGGGAUAACUGGCUUGUGGCAGCCAAGCGUUCCUAGCGACGUUGCCGUUUGAUCCUUCGAUGUCGGCUCUUCCUAGCCUUGCGCCGCAGCAGACGCAAAGGGUCGGAUUGUUCACCCGGAUGAGGGAACGUGAGCUGGGUUUAGACCGUCGUGAGACAGGUUGGUUUUACCCUACUUAAUCGUACAUAUCAACUCGGCGCUCCGAGGGUAAUGCGAAGUAGUACGAGAGGAACUUUCGUUUCGCCUCACUAGCAACCGCGGUCCUCCGAAGCGAGGCGCCGCAACGCCACCAGGCGAUGAUUCACAGCUGAACGCCUCUUAAGCUGGAAAUCAACCCCGACGAGCGCCUUGGCCGCACGGCCAACCGGUGCCGAAGUGUAUGCCCGCGACGGUAUGGUCCUCGGACCGCCAUCGGGCAGCUCUAUCGAGCCAUCGUAACGUACGAGUAGGUACCACGGAACACCUGGAACAUACGAUUCCAGAUGCACAGCCAGGUAUACGUGCUGGAGGAAUCUAGGUUCCGACUCACUGAGCCUGUGUGAUGUGCCAAUAGGUGCGA